RNAcentral lists this ribosomal RNA (495 nucleotides) under uncultured bacterium. RNAcentral's name for it is "bacterial SSU rRNA". It matches the Rfam family "Bacterial small subunit ribosomal RNA", at positions 28 to 536 of the family's 1533-position model. The record is from RNAcentral.
GACGAACGCUGGCGGCGUGCUUAAAACAUGCAAGUCGAACGGACUUCUCAUGAAGCUUGCGAUUGAGAAGUUAGUGGCGGACGGGUGAGUAACGCGUGGGCAACCUGCCCCUGAGCCCGGGAUAACAGUUCGAAAGGACUGCUAAGACCGGAUAUACUUGCGGGGAAGCAUUUCUCUGUAAGGAAAGGGAACGCUCAGGGGAUGGGGCCCGCGUCCCAUUAGCUAGUUGGUGAGGUAACGGCCCACCAAGGCGACGAUGGGUAGCCGGCCUGAGAGGGUGAACGGCCACACUGGGACUGAGACACGGCCCAGACUCCUACGGGAGGCAGCAGUUGGGAAUCUUCGGCAAUGGGCGCAAGCCUGACCGAGCAACGCCGCGUGAGUGAUGAAGGCCUUCGGGUUGUAAAGUGCUUUUGAAGGGAAGAGGAAGGACGGUACCUUCAGAAUAAGUCUCGGCUAACUACGUGCCAGCAGCCGCGGUAAACAUAACUCGUA